Molecule: ribosomal RNA, 419 nt
Filed under: bacterium
Lineage: Bacteria
Description: partial 16S ribosomal RNA
Rfam family: Bacterial small subunit ribosomal RNA
Source: RNAcentral
UGGGGGAUAUUGCACAAUGGGCGAAAGCCUGAUGCAGCGACGCCGCGUGGGGGAUGAAGGCCUUCGGGUUGUAAACUUCUUUUGCUCUGAACAAGGCAUGCUAAUGGGUGUGUUGAGUGUAGGGGUUGAUUAGCGCCGACUAACUACGUGCCAGCAGCCGCGGUAAUACGUAGGGCGCGAGCGUUGUCCGGAAUUAUUGGGCGUAAAGGGCUUGUAGGUGGCUGGUUGCGUCUGUCGUGAAAGCUCAUGGCUUAACUGUGGGUUUGCGGUGGGUACGGGCUGGCUUGAGUGCAGGAGGGGAGGCUGGAAUUCCUGGUGUAGCGGUGGAAUGCGCAGAUAUCAGGAGGAAUACCGGUGGCGAAGGCGGGUCUCUGGGCUGUUACUGACACUGAGGAGCGAAAGCAUGGGGAGCGAACAGG